AGCACUGUAACUCUUUAGAAUCUAACACCCAUUUUUUUGUGGUAAAAACCUCAGGGCUUAUCACCAGUUUGUUGUAUGAUAUACUGGUCAGUUACUGAUUCUGACAGCAACAAUUAUUCUUCUCACUGACAUUGAUACCAGAAGUUAACUCUUCUUUUUAACGAACUCCUUUUGGCUUCCUGGAAUUGCUUUUGAAUUGUUUCCAGGGAUGAAAAACCCAGCUGUAUAUGGAGUGGCAAGAGACAAAUGAUUCUAAAGCCUAUUCAA
Lynx canadensis (Canada lynx) is the source of this 267-nucleotide long non-coding RNA. RefSeq lists it as uncharacterized. NCBI's taxonomy places the organism in Eukaryota, Metazoa, Chordata, Mammalia, Carnivora, Felidae. The record is from RefSeq and is a predicted model, not a curated record. The transcript is spliced from 4 exons.